UUAAGUUCAGCGGGUAGUCCUACCUGAUUUGAGGUCAGAUUUCAAAAUACAUUGACCGCCACUCCAGAGGCAAGGUCGUGGGAGGACACAAGAGGGGAACUUCUCAGUCGAGCGAGGAUGGUACAACGCCCAGUCGAGUCCGACCCGCAGGUCCAACCGAUGCAUUUGAGGGGAGCCGCCUCACGGCAGCAUGCCCCCAA
RNAcentral lists this unclassified non-coding RNA (200 nucleotides) under Trechispora sp. RNAcentral's name for it is "partial internal transcribed spacer 2". The record is from RNAcentral. Lineage: Eukaryota; Fungi; Basidiomycota; Agaricomycetes; Trechisporales; Hydnodontaceae.